RNAcentral lists this transfer RNA (75 nucleotides) under Chloroflexota bacterium. RNAcentral's name for it is "Chloroflexi bacterium tRNA-Thr". It matches the Rfam family "tRNA". Rfam says of the family: Transfer RNA (tRNA) molecules are approximately 80 nucleotides in length. Their secondary structure includes four short double-helical elements and three loops (D, anti-codon, and T loops). Further hydrogen bonds mediate the characteristic L-shaped molecular structure. tRNAs have two regions of fundamental functional importance: the anti-codon, which is responsible for specific mRNA codon recognition, and the 3' end, to which the tRNAs corresponding amino acid is attached (by aminoacyl-tRNA synthetases). tRNAs cope with the degeneracy of the genetic code in two manners: having more than one tRNA (with a specific anti-codon) for a particular amino acid; and 'wobble' base-pairing, i.e. permitting non-standard base-pairing at the 3rd anti-codon position. Lineage: Bacteria; Bacillati; Chloroflexota. RNAcentral also lists the same sequence under 5 other names. The record is from RNAcentral.
GCCGAAGUAGCUCAGGGGUAGAGCAUCGGUUUCGUAAACCGACGGUCGUGGGUUCGAAUCCCACCUUCGGCUCCA